AGAGUUUGAUCCUGGCUCAGGAUGAACGCUAGCGGCAGGCCUAAUACAUGCAAGUCGAACGGGCUGGAGUAGCAAUACUUCAGUUAGUGGCGCACGGGUGCGUAACGCGUAUGCAACCUACCUUUUAUUGGGGGAUAGCCCGAAGAAAUUCGGAUUAAUACCGCAUAAUACUGUUUGAGGGCAUCUGAAGACAGUUAAAGCUGAGGCGAUAAAAGAUGGGCAUGCGUGACAUUAGCUAGUUGGUGGUGGUAACGGCACACCAAGGCGACGAUGUCUAGGGGUUCUGAGAGGAUGAUCCCCCACACUGGUACUGAGAUACGGACCAGACUCCUACGGGAGGCAGCAGUAGGGAAUAUUGGGCAAUGGCCGAAAGGCUGACCCAGCCAUGCCGCGUGCAGGAUGAAGGCCUUCUGGGUUGUAAACUGCUUUUACCAGGGAAGAAAAUACCUUUGCGAAGGGAACUGACGGUACCUGGUGAAUAAGCACCGGCUAACUCCGUGCCAGCAGCCGCGGUAAUACGGAGGGUGCAAGCGUUGUCCGGAUUUAUUGGGUUUAAAGGGUGCGUAGGCGGCUUGAUAAGUCCGUGGUGAAAGCCAACAGCUCAACUGUUGAACUGCCAUGGAUACUGUCAGGCUUGAGUACAGAUGAGGUAGGCGGAAUGGAUCGUGUAGCGGUGAAAUGCAUAGAUACGAUCCAGAACUCCGAUUGCGAAGGCAGCUUACUAGGCUGUAACUGACGCUGAGGCACGAAAGCGUGGGGAGCGAACAGGAUUAGAUACCCUAGUAGUCC
This 789-nucleotide ribosomal RNA is filed under the name uncultured bacterium. Its description in RNAcentral is "bacterial SSU rRNA". It matches the Rfam family "Bacterial small subunit ribosomal RNA", at positions 8 to 796 of the family's 1533-position model. The record is from RNAcentral.